GUCUCUCGGUCUCUUUCACCUUCGACUCUCGGCCGACGCAGGAACAAACAUGAUGGCGUGCUUAUUUCAAACAUCUUAUUGUUCCUUUGUCACUUUUAAACUAUCCAACUAUUUAAUUCCACAAGUUUACAGGCCGUGUCCGAGUUGAAGGCGGAGAAGAUGACGUCACGCGACCAAAUGUAAGUGAACCUCAAAGUCCACGAUGACGACAAAUCACGUGCACUUCUGGACGGGAGCAGUCCUGAUGGCCGCUGUCCAGUUUGCCGAGUGGGACUUCCUGUCCAGAAUCACAGGACUUCCUGUCUACUUCCAUGUGGGAUGAUUCAAGCGGGAAAACAGUUGUCCCAAUUCAGUCUGCGUCCUUAGAGCUAAUUUGAAGGCUGUCUGUGUUCAUUUAAAUUGACAGGCUCAGAAAAAUGUGCUGUCUUUUUUUUUUUUUUGUCUUCCGUGGCCUCACAUAUUCCAACAUGUUGUGUGUCUUUGUUCAAGCCAGCUGUCCUGAGGGGUUUUGUGUGAAAACUUCAUUAAAGAAUACUCUAAAUGA
Nerophis ophidion (straightnose pipefish) is the source of this 544-nucleotide long non-coding RNA. RefSeq lists it as uncharacterized. The record is from RefSeq and is a predicted model, not a curated record. Lineage: Eukaryota; Metazoa; Chordata; Actinopteri; Syngnathiformes; Syngnathidae. The transcript is spliced from 4 exons.